UCCCCCUUAGCUCAGCGGUAGAGCGCUUCACUAGUAUCUUCGGGGAAAAGUCCGUGUUAUCAUGAAGAGGUCAGUCGUUCAAGUCGGCUAGGGGGAA
Molecule: non-coding RNA, 97 nt
Organism: Paramarasmius palmivorus
Lineage: Eukaryota; Fungi; Basidiomycota; Agaricomycetes; Agaricales; Marasmiaceae
Source: the annotation of a GenBank genome assembly